CUGUAGUUCAGCCGUGUGCUCUUCCCUGAUCUCUCAGGCUUCCGCGUGGACCUGGGCUCUCUGCAUUUUUAUAUUCGCCCCUUCUGCCCUCAGUGGCGUUACUUGUUACAAUCCUACCGCGCUCGUUUGCUGCGCUGUUCAGACCUGUGCGUCCUUCAGUCAGGGCCACUGCAUGUCGCUUCAUCGCUAAUCUCUGCAUAUCGGAGCCAGUCACGCUCACGCUGUUGCAGCCUUCAAAUCACGAUAACCUACUGCCGGGUCGCAGUCCUCGCGCAACUCUUUUGCAGGCCCAUGUCGUUUUCGGCAACAAUUUCUCAAGCUUCAGCAUCUGGUUGUUAAGGUUAUCGUGCUCUCUCUUCCCAAGCUCCUCGAGCUGGGCUACACUCUACCCACAGUCAUGCAACCUGCUUGCCAACGAUAUUCGGCGGGCAGCAAACAAACUGACUUGUCUGACACGGUUUAACUUUCACUUAAGCCUCCUUA
This is a long non-coding RNA of Alosa sapidissima (American shad), 483 nucleotides long. RefSeq lists it as uncharacterized. The transcript is spliced from 4 exons. The record is from RefSeq and is a predicted model, not a curated record. NCBI's taxonomy places the organism in Eukaryota, Metazoa, Chordata, Actinopteri, Clupeiformes, Clupeidae.